UGGGGAAUCUUGCACAAUGGACGAAAGUCUGAUGCAGCAACGCCGCGUGGGGGAUGAAGCUUUUCGGAGUGUAAACCCCUUUCGACCCGGAAGAAUGCCCGCAAGGGUUUGACGGUACGGGUAUAAGAAGCCCCGGCUAACUACGUGCCAGCAGCCGCGGUAAUACGUAGGAGGCCAGCGUUGCUCGGAAUUACUGGGCGUAAAGGGUUCGUAGGCGGUGUGGCAAGUCGGGAGUGAAAUCUCUGGGCUCAGCCCAGAGACUGCUUCCGAAACUGCUGUGCUUGAGUGUGGGAGAGGCGCGUGGAAUUGCAGGUGUAGCGGUGAAAUGCGUAGAUAUCUGCAGGAACACCCGUGGCGAAAGCGGCGCGCUGGACCACUACUGACGCUGAGGAACGAAAGCUAGGGGAGCAAACAGGAUUAGAUACCCUGGUAGUCCUAGCCCUAAACGAUCAGGACUUGGGGUGCCACCCGUUCGGGUGUCGUCCCGGAGCUAACGCGUUAAGUCCUGCACCUGGGGAGUACGGUCGCAAGACUG
Molecule: ribosomal RNA, 535 nt
Filed under: uncultured bacterium
Lineage: Bacteria
Description: bacterial SSU rRNA
Rfam family: Bacterial small subunit ribosomal RNA
Source: RNAcentral